Molecule: long non-coding RNA, 647 nt
Organism: Oncorhynchus tshawytscha (Chinook salmon)
Lineage: Eukaryota; Metazoa; Chordata; Actinopteri; Salmoniformes; Salmonidae
Source: Ensembl
AGACAGGACUGUCUAGAAAGAGGAGCAGACCUGGUGAUCAUAAACAGCAGAGAGGAACAGGUGAGAGAGAGAGAGAGAGAGAGAGAGAGAGAGAGAGAGAGAGAGAGAGAGAGAGAGAGAGGAGAGCAGACAGGACUGUCUAGAAAGAGGAGCAGACCUGGUGAUCAUAAACAGCAGAGAGGAACAGGUGUGAGAGAGAGAGAGAGAGAGAGAGGAGAGAGGAGAGCAGACAGGACUGUCUAGAAAGAGGAGCAGACCUGGUGAUCAUAAACAGCAGAGAGGAACAGGUGAGAGAGAGAGAGAGAGAGAGAGAGAGAGAGAGAAGAGAGGAGAGAGGAGAGCAGACAGGACUGUCUAGAUAGAGGAGCAGACCUGGUCAUCAUAAACAGCAGAGAGGAACAGGUGAGAGAGAGAGAGAGAGAGAGAGAGAGAGAGAGAGAGAGAGAGAGAGAGAAGAGAGGAGAGAGGAGAGCAGACAGGACUGUCUAGAUAGAGGAGCAGACCUGGUGAUCAUAAACAGCAGAGAGGAACAGGUGAGAGAGAGAGAGAGAGUAGAGAGGAGAGAGGAGAGCAGACAGGACUGUCUAGAAAGAGGAGCAGACCUGGUGAUCAUAAACAGCAGAGAGGAACAGGUGAGAGAGAGAGAG